CCUACGGGCGGCAGCAGUGGGGAAUAUUGCGCAAUGGGCGAAAGCCUGACGCAGCGACGCCGCGUGAGGGAUGAAGGUCUUCGGAUCGUAAACCUCUGUCAGGAGGGAAGAAGUGGUUAUAUGCGAAUAGUGUAUGACUUUGACGGUACCUCCAAAGGAAGCACCGGCUAACUCCGUGCCAGCAGCCGCGGUAAUACGGAGGAUGCGAGCGUUAGCCGGAUUUAUUGGGUUAAAAGGGUGCGUAGGCGGUCCGGAAAGUCAGCGGUAAAAGCCCGGGGCUCAACCCCGGCGAGCCGUUGAAACUGGCGGACUAGAGACGGCGAGAAGUACGCGGAAUGCGCGGUGUAGCGGUGAAAUGCAUAGAUAUCGCGCAGAACUCCGAUUGCGAAGGCAGCGUACCGGCGCCGGACUGACGCUGAGGCACGAAAGCGUGGGUAUCGAACAGGAUUAGAUACCCCAGUAGUC
Molecule: ribosomal RNA, 465 nt
Filed under: uncultured bacterium
Lineage: Bacteria
Description: partial 16S ribosomal RNA
Rfam family: Bacterial small subunit ribosomal RNA
Source: RNAcentral